AUUACCGAGUUUACAACUCUCCAAACCCAAUGUGAACCAUACCAAACUGUUGCCUCGGCGGGGUCACGCCCCGGGUGCGUCGCAGCCCCGGAACCAGGCGCCCGCCGGAGGGACCAACCAAACUCUUUUCUGUAGUCCCCUCGCGGACGUUAUUUCUUACAGCUCUGAGCAAAAAUUCAAAAUGAAUCAAAACUUUCAACAACGGAUCUCUUGGUUCUGGCAUCGAUGAAGAACGCAGCGAAAUGCGAUAAGUAAUGUGAAUUGCAGAAUUCAGUGAAUCAUCGAAUCUUUGAACGCACAUUGCGCCCGCCAGUAUUCUGGCGGGCAUGCCUGUCCGAGCGUCAUUUCAACCCUCGAACCCCCCGGGGGGUCGGCGUUGGGGAUCGGGAACCCCUAAGACGGGAUCCCGGCCCCGAAAUACAGUGGCGGUCUCGCCGCAGCCUCUCCUGCGCAGUAGUUUGCACAACUCG
This 470-nucleotide ribosomal RNA is filed under the name Trichoderma gamsii. Its description in RNAcentral is "partial 18S ribosomal RNA". The stretch from base 191 to 344 matches the Rfam family "5.8S ribosomal RNA". The record is from RNAcentral. Lineage: Eukaryota; Fungi; Ascomycota; Sordariomycetes; Hypocreales; Hypocreaceae.